AUCGCGUCGCCCCCCAACACCGUGCAUGAAACACUGCCGGUUGUCGGAGGGUCGGAUAUUGGCUUCCCGUGCUUUGGUGUGGCUGGCCUAAAUGAAGUCCCUUGCGACGGACACGACGACAAGUGGUGGUUGAUUACCUCAACUCAGUUGCUGUCGUUUGUUGACCCGUCGGAUGAGCAGACUCCGUGNNCUUAAUAGCAAUGUGCGCACGAUGCAUGCCACGACCGC
This 228-nucleotide ribosomal RNA is filed under the name Gentiana prostrata var. ludlowii. Lineage: Eukaryota; Viridiplantae; Streptophyta; Magnoliopsida; Gentianales; Gentianaceae. The record is from RNAcentral.